This 87-nucleotide transfer RNA is filed under the name Clostridia bacterium. Its description in RNAcentral is "tRNA-Leu". It matches the Rfam family "tRNA". Rfam says of the family: Transfer RNA (tRNA) molecules are approximately 80 nucleotides in length. Their secondary structure includes four short double-helical elements and three loops (D, anti-codon, and T loops). RNAcentral also lists the same sequence under 2 other names. The record is from RNAcentral. Lineage: Bacteria; Bacillati; Bacillota; Clostridia.
GCGGAUAUGGCGGAAUUGGCAGACGCGCAUGGUUCAGGUCCAUGUGAGAGCAAUCUCAUGGAGGUUCAAGUCCUCUUAUCCGCACCA